GACGAACGCUGGCGGCGUGCCUAAUACAUGCAAGUAGGACGCAGUUGCGAACGGGUGAGUAACGCGUAGGUAACUACCUGUUAGAGGGGGAUAAAUAUUGGACACGAUAGCUAAUACCGCAUACUAGUAGAUGGACCUGCGUUGUAUGAGCUAGUAGGUAGGGUAAUGGCCUACUUAGGCAACGAUACAUAGCCUACCUGAGAGGGUGAACGGCCACACUGGGGCUUGAGCACGGCCCAGACUCCUUCGGGAGGCAGCAGUAGGGAAACUUCGGCAAUGGGGGGAACCCUUACCGAGCAACGCCCCGUGAGUUAAGAAGGUUUUCGGAUCUUAAAGCUCUUUUGUUAAGGAAGCGGUACUUAACCAGAAAGGGACGGCUAACUACGUGCCAGCCGCCGCGGUAAUAC
Molecule: ribosomal RNA, 407 nt
Filed under: uncultured bacterium
Lineage: Bacteria
Description: partial 16S ribosomal RNA
Rfam family: Bacterial small subunit ribosomal RNA
Source: RNAcentral